AUCGCGUCUCUAUUGAGCCUCGGAACAGUGUUACGCGAAGGAAUCAUUCGUGGCGGACAGGUGACUCUUCCAGCUCUAUCCUGUACGCGCACACCGGAUGUAUAUAUUUUUAAGCGCGACGAGGCACCGUUCACCAUCGAACAACUGCAGUUUGAGAGAAAAAGUGGCAGUUUAAGUGAUAAAUUCUUUGAUUUACGAGACUGAUAUAGAAGAAGCAAUUCAGAAUGUUGUGCCUUUAACAUAGUUCAUUCUAUAUUAUUAUCUUCUUAUUCUUAUAGUUAUUAUAAAAUAAUUUGUAGAAAUCAUUUUCUAUAGAUCGCUUUAUACAUUUUGUAUUUGAUGUGGAAUUUUUUAAUAAAGUCGUUAUAAACUCGA
Long non-coding RNA from Solenopsis invicta (red fire ant), 375 nucleotides. RefSeq lists it as uncharacterized. The record is from RefSeq and is a predicted model, not a curated record. The transcript has 2 exons. Lineage: Eukaryota; Metazoa; Arthropoda; Insecta; Hymenoptera; Formicidae.